GGACUAAGAGUAUCCCAAGAAAAAGCUUCUAACUUUAAUCUUAAGCAGUGAAAUUCUGUUUUUAGUUCU
This 69-nucleotide transfer RNA is filed under the name Scolytinae sp. BMNH 1274299. RNAcentral describes it as "tRNA-Ser". The record is from RNAcentral. Lineage: Eukaryota; Metazoa; Arthropoda; Insecta; Coleoptera; Curculionidae.